This 63-nucleotide small RNA is filed under the name unclassified sequences. RNAcentral describes it as "DUF2815 RNA". It matches the Rfam family "DUF2815 RNA". The record is from Rfam by way of RNAcentral.
AGGGAAGACAGGUUGGCCCCUACUGAAGACCAAUCUUAAUGUUAAAAAGGACUUAUCAUCAUG